Molecule: ribosomal RNA, 415 nt
Filed under: uncultured cyanobacterium
Lineage: Bacteria; Bacillati; Cyanobacteriota
Description: bacterial SSU rRNA
Rfam family: Bacterial small subunit ribosomal RNA
Source: RNAcentral
GGGGAAUUUUUCCGCAAUGGGCGAAAGCCUGACGGAGCAAGACCGCGUGCGGGAGGAAGGUCUAUUGACUGUAAACCGCUUUUGAUAGGGAAGAAGAUCUGACGGUACCUAUCGAAUCAGCAUCGGCUAACUCCGUGCCAGCAGCCGCGGUAAUACGGGGGAUGCAAGCGUUAUCCGGAAUUAUUGGGCGUAAAGCGUCCGUAGGUGGUUUUAUAAGUCUGUUGUCAAAUCGCGAGGCUUAACCUCGUACAGGCAGUGGAAACUAUAAGACUAGAGUGCGGUAGGGGUAGAGGGAAUUUCCAGUGUAGCGGUGAAAUGCGUAGAUAUUGGAAAGAACACCGGUGGCGAAGGCGCUCUACUGGGCCUGCACUGACACUGAGGGACGAAAGCUAGGGGAGCGAAAGGGAUUAGAUAC